GACGAACGCUGGCGGCGUGCCUAAUACAUGCAAGUUGAGCGCUGAAGGUUGGUACUUGUACCAACUGGAUGAGCAGCGAACGGGUGAGUAACGCGUGGGGAAUCUGCCUUUGAGCGGGGGACAACAUUUGGAAACGAAUGCUAAUACCGCAUAAAAACUUUAAACACAAGUUUUAAGUUUGAAAGAUGCAAUUGCAUCACUCAAAGAUGAUCCCGCGUUGUAUUAGCUAGUUGGUGAGGUAAAGGCUCACCAAGGCGAUGAUACAUAGCCGACCUGAGAGGGUGAUCGGCCACAUUGGGACUGAGACACGGCCCAAACUCAUACGGGAGGCAGCAGUAGGGAAUCUUCGGCAAUGGACGAAAGUCUGACCGAGCAACGCCGCGUGAGUGAAGAAGGUUUUCGGAUCGUAAAACUCUGUUGGUAGAGAAGAACGUUGGUGAGAGUGGAAAGCUCAUCAAGUGACGGUAACUACCCAGAAAGGGACGGCUAACUACGUG
Molecule: ribosomal RNA, 497 nt
Filed under: uncultured bacterium
Lineage: Bacteria
Description: partial 16S ribosomal RNA
Rfam family: Bacterial small subunit ribosomal RNA
Source: RNAcentral